UGAACAUCGACAUUUCGAACGCACAUUGCGGUCCGUGGAGAAAUAUCCAGGACCACUCCUGUCUGAGGGCCGGCUGUUAAAAUAUAAAAAUCACACUGUUCACAAUUAAAAUUAAUUGUGAAGAAUUGACGGGUUCCGUUAUGAUUUCGUUUUAAACGACGUUCUCACACGGUCCGUUUAAAUAUAAUUCGAUAACCGAUCGUCUAUAUAGUAUGCGUAUAUAAUUGAAACGCGUUACAACAACACAAAACGAUCGGGCGUCCCUCGGACGCGCGACUCUUCGACGUAAAAAAUCGACAGAGGGCAUGCGCGUCUUUAGACGGUGACGUUUACCGUAUCGUUGUUGUAGUAACGUAUAUAUACAUAUAUAAAUAGACAUAUUCGGGUAGGCGGACUCGACGUCCGAAGAGCGCAUCGAUGCUACGUUGCUCUCUCGUUUAUCAACGAGACGAGUCAACGGAGUGUCCUUGAGCUGACGGAUAU
This 483-nucleotide ribosomal RNA is filed under the name Papilio dardanus cenea. RNAcentral's name for it is "eukaryotic LSU rRNA". Lineage: Eukaryota; Metazoa; Arthropoda; Insecta; Lepidoptera; Papilionidae. The record is from RNAcentral.